AAAGCAGGUCUGCAAUUGCAGCUCUUCUUUGCAGUAGAGUGCUGUCAUUAACCCUGCUGAGAGCAUGUUUUUGCUGUAGAGCUUGUUCUCCUGCUCACCAUGCUGGUGAUCAGGAAGCUCUGUAGUUGAACACUG
This is a small nucleolar RNA of Amphiprion percula (orange clownfish), 135 nucleotides long. The record is from Ensembl. NCBI's taxonomy places the organism in Eukaryota, Metazoa, Chordata, Actinopteri, Pomacentridae.